Molecule: long non-coding RNA, 509 nt
Organism: Mastomys coucha (southern multimammate mouse)
Lineage: Eukaryota; Metazoa; Chordata; Mammalia; Rodentia; Muridae
Exons: 3
Source: RefSeq, a predicted model, not a curated record
CUCGUGAGCAGCGAGUGCCUGCAGCCUCAGACGCGCCCCUUUGCGACACGGUAUCUGACCUUGCACGUUUGUGACUUGCCCAAGCCCUGUAACCAGGAAAGCAGACAGUACGCUCCCCCUCAGAGCCGUGGAGAGGGCAGAGCAAGUCCCUCUGCAAUAAACACACGUCUGCCUUCAACACCCAUUUACUGAGCAUCCAUUGUGUGCCGGGCUCCAUGGAUGCAGGACUCGGCAACACCACGGAAGCCCAUGAGUUCUUCUCCUCAUCUUAGUGAGGAUGACGAUUGGGCACGUUACUGCCCAGACUCUCUGAAAUGAAUAAACGAAUGAUAGGCCAAACGAAACAUCGCAGAACCAAAAUCUGUCUUCCCUCAGAGACAUGAAACCGGUUCUCCUUUGAGUGACUCCCUCAUCAGUUCCUAUCCGUGCCUCAUCUGGCCAAGUCACUGAGCCCUGCCGCAGCCACCAGCCAGCCCGGUUCCGGUUCUGUCUCUAAGCAUCCACGAGGU